RNAcentral lists this long non-coding RNA (2543 nucleotides) under Salmo trutta (river trout). Its description in RNAcentral is "lncRNA (ENSSTUG00000044245.1)". Lineage: Eukaryota; Metazoa; Chordata; Actinopteri; Salmoniformes; Salmonidae. The record is from RNAcentral.
UGUACUCAUUGUGUAGUAUUCAAACAAGCUGUGGUUUCUAUAUGUUUGAUAACGUCCCAUUUAUUCCAUUCCAGCCAUUACAAUGAGCCCGUCCUCCUCCCACCAGCCUCCUCUGUGCUAUACAGGUGUCGGGUUGGUUGGUGGCCAAUUUUUUUUCCCCUCUGUUUGUAUCACAAAUGUAACGUGAUUGAACACACACUAUCGCACAGUAGGUGGCGGUAUGCACAAACAAAAUGUGUGAACGCCAUGAUACCAAAGAAGAAGAUACACUCCAGCCUCGCCAGCCAGCAUUCCUUCCUGAGAAGCAGUUAGUCAACCGGCUGUUGCAUUUUCGGUUAUCCAUUGGUCUUGUCUGGACCGUGAAGUCGCGGGAGAGUUUGGACAGAAAUGGUGGAGAAAUAAAUGGAGUUCACUCAGGCCGUUUAAAAAAGGUAUCAAUUUACGGUCUGCUAAAAAGGGUGGCGCUCCCAUAGACACCAAUGCGAUAGCAGCUGGGUCUGGGUCUGCUUUGUUCAUUGAUUGAACCAGAAAAAACAGCGACUGGAAUGGAAUUCUUCCUGCCCCCCCCCCAAAAAACGUGACUAGCUAAGCAUAUUGACGCCGAUAAAUACAGAAACAAAAGGCUUUGAAUGCUAACUGUCAAAGGUGACCGUUAGGAUCGCGUGACAAGAAUGGAGGAUAAUUUGGAGAGCGUGCUCCAUUGCGAUGACAAGGAGGAGUUGAGGCGGAAACUGGCCUUGCUACAGAGGGAGUACUCCAGGACAGUUCAGAGAUUACAGCGAGCUGAGCGUUCAGAUGCCGUGCGGAAGCAUGUGAGGAGCCGGAUCUCUGAGCAGAACCUUCAGGACCAGACAGACCCAGUCCCAGCCAACACCUUUCCCAACCCAGCUCUACCCCCCCUCUCCCUUGGUUGCCCUGCUAGGACAGCCCCAGGUUCAGCCUUACCACUAGGCCCCGCUGGAGACUCGACUGUGGCGGCAUCGUGUCCGGUGGAAUCUGAGAACACCAGGCGGAGUAGUCCGUCCAUCCGCUUCCUCAUCCCCGUCGAUAACUCUUGCCCUCGGACACCUGACCUUAACCCUCACAGACGAAGCCACUCCCUCUGGCUGAGGUCACGGAGAAGCCGGCUGUGCUGGGAGCGGACGGGGAGGGGCGAGGGGGCAGAGGGGAGGUAUGACACAGAGACCAGCGAGGACGGGCUGGAGCUGGACGCACGGACAGAGAAAGAAGAGGACGGAGAGAAGAGAAAGAUGGGGGAAGAGAAGGAGGGUGAGAAGAAAGAGCUAGAGAGGGAGGAGAAUGAGAGGUUAACUCCAGAUAAAGAGGCAAUGAAACAGAGAGAUGGAGAGGAGAGAGAAGAACAGAGGACAUAUGGACAGAAGGAGAUAGAGAAGGAAUGGGUGAACCUGAGGAGAGAUGGAGAGAGAGAAGAGGGAGGUGAUUCAGGAGCUGUGGGAGCCUCCGUGUUAGGGGCUGUUGGGUUGUGUAACACUGGUGGGGUCCUGGACUCGUGCACUCUGGUGGAAGGUCUGCCGUUCCCUGUAGAAUACUACAUCAGAACCACAAGACGCAUGGCCUCUUCACAGAGCCACAGAGACCUGCAGGCUGUCAUUCUGAACCAACUCAACAGGGGGCGCCACAGAAGGAGCAGGGGCCGGAUGUCUAACCCACACUCACUCUCAACUUCACACUCCGACUCACUAGCACAACCCUCCAAUCACCGCCAGUGCUCAAGUCAACUGACCUCAAACUCACCGACCAAUCGCACACCGGUCGAGGAGCCAUCAGCCAAUCAGAUGCUUACCUCUGAGUCAGGGACCAAUCAGAGUGAGCGUUUACCUUCCAGAGCCUGCAGUGUUCGGCCUAUCAGAGGCCGGAGGAGGAGAGGAAGGAGGUCGAGACUGGGCCGCUCUCUAAGUUUGGACUCGGAUCCUCCAGCACCAGGCCCAGACAACACCCAGACCCCGGCCGCUAUUAGCCCAGCCUCACAGCCUCUCCCUGGGGGUGGAUGUCCAGAGCGCUGGCCUCUCUCUGGAGGUGUGGAGGAACAGCUUUAUCCCAUCUUCAGGAGCUGUGUCUCUCCCCUCAUUCACACACCAAAGCAGAGCAAAGAGAGUGUGUGGUGUCUCCUCCUGCCCUCCUCCCUCUCCCCUGGAGGACCAGCAGUGCACCCUGGGAGUCUGGGCCGCGUCAUCUCAACCUUUGACCUCCAGGAUUUCCAUCUCCCCGACGACCAGUUCGGACAGCUAAAGCUCCAGAAGCUUCGCGCCUCGUCUGCCGUUGCCGUCCCAGAACCGGAACCCUUCUCACCUUACAACAUGCGUCGUCGCCGCAGCAGAGGCUCGGUCCACGGCGACACAGGUGGUCUGAUGUCUAAAGCGCCUACGCCUGAGCCCCUCCCUCUCAGCCUCACCCCUCCAGUCACAGACUGUGUCACUCCGGUAGAACAGUCUAUAGACAGAUCUAUAGGCCAGCAUCUUAUAGACCACCCUAUAGGCCAGCAGUCUACAGACGCACUAGACCAUUCUACAGACCUCCAUUGA